RNAcentral lists this ribosomal RNA (253 nucleotides) under uncultured bacterium. Its description in RNAcentral is "partial 16S ribosomal RNA". It matches the Rfam family "Bacterial small subunit ribosomal RNA", at positions 524 to 776 of the family's 1533-position model. The record is from RNAcentral.
UACGGAGGGUGCAAGCGUUGUCCGGAUUUAUUGGGUUUAAAGGGUGCGUAGGCGGCCCGUUAAGUCAGUGGUGAAAUCCCAGGGCUCAACCCUGGAACUGCCAUUGAUACUGACGGGCUUGAGUUCGGUUAAGGCGGGCGGAACUGGUGGUGUAGCGGUGAAAUGCAUAUAUACCACCAAGAACCCCGAUUGCGUAGGCAGCUCGCUGAGCCGAAACUGACGCUGAGGCACGAAAGCGUGGGGAGCGAACAGG